GGCUGUGUAGUAACAGUGCUGCUUGAUUAAGAUCGGCUCGCGCUGCAUUGGUCCAAAUUGAUAAACGGUCCGUCAACCACACAAUAACGAGUAGCGUUAGCUCAGUUUAGUUCCGCUUACAUUACAUUUGUCAUUUGAUGUUGGGCAAUGUUGUGGUCACGUCAGCAUCUCUUACAUUAUGAGCACGCUUGACACACAUUUGAAAUAACAAAAUUUACGAACCAUUUGGUUCAAAAAUGCGUACCGAAAACCAAACCGAAAGCCUCGUACUGAACGGUUCAAUACGAUUACGUGAAUCAUUACACCCCUAAUACAUAAAUACAUGCAUCAUCUUCCGCUUAUCCGGGGACGGGUUGCUGGGUAGUAGUCUAAGCAGAGAUGCCUAGACUUCCCUCUCUCCCAGAAACUUCCUCCAGCUCUUCCAGGGGGACACCAAGGACAACCAGGAGACAUAAUCCCUCCAGAGUGUCCUAGGUCUUCCCAGGGGUCUCCUCCCAGUGGAAUGCGCCCUGAACACCUUCCAGAGAAUGUGUCCAGGAGACAUCUGGAACAGAUGCCUGAGCCACCUCAGCUGGCUCCUCUAUAUGUGGAGGAGCAGUCGGCUCUACUCUGAGCUCCUCCCGAGUGACCGAGCUCCUCACCCUAUCUCUAAGGGAUCGCCCAGCCACCCAGCGGAGAAAGGUCAUUUCGGCCGCCUCUAUAUGGGAUCUUGUCCUUUCGGUCAUGACCAUAAGGGUGAGUUGGAACGUAGAUUGACCGGUAAAAUCGACAGCUUGGCCUUGCAGAUCAACUCCUUCUUCAUCACAACAUACCGGUACAUUGACCGCAUUACUGCAGAAGCUGCACCGAUCUGUCUGUCAAUCUCCCGUUCCAUCCUUCCCUCACUUGUGAAAAAGCAAAAAAGCAGAGACGAAGUCGUGUUGUCGCCAAACCCCAAACACCCUCCUGCCCCUGGCUGCGCCUAGAAAUUCUGUCCAUAAAAAUUGUGAACAGAAAUGGUGACAAAGGGCAGCCCUGCCGGAGUCCAACAUGCACCAGGAACAAGUCUGACUUACUGCCGGCAAUGUGAACCAAGCUCUUGCUCCGGUCGUACAGGGACCAGACAGCCCUUAGCAAAGGACCCUGGACCCUAUACUCCCAGAGCACCCUCCACAGGACUCCGCGAGCGACAUAGUCGAAUGCCUUCUCCAAAUCCACAAAGAACAUAUGGAUUGGUUGGGCAAACUCCCAUGAACCCUCCAGCACCCUGGAGAGGGUAUAGAGCUGGUCCAGUGUUCCACGACUGGGACAAAAGCCGCACUCUUCCUCCUGAAUCCGAGGUUCUACUAUCGGCCGAAUUCUCCUCUCCAUAACCUUGGCAUAGACUUUCCCAGGGAGACAAAGAAGUUUGAUCCCCCUGUAUUGGAACACACCCUCCGGUCCCCCUUCUUAAAAAGAGGGACCACCACCCCGGUCUGCCAGUUCAAAUCUACUGUCCCUGAUGUUGCAAAGUUAUGUGAGCCAAUACAUCCCCACAACAUCCAGAGACUUGAGAUCUCAUCCACCCCUGCUGCUUUGGCAUCAUAAGAUACAUCCAGCAAAAAAUGUAUCUUAACACAAGCAAAAUGCAUUGACACAUGUUCAGGUUUGCUUCUCUGUUAGUAUCCCCACAGCUGUAGGUCUCUGUCAGUGCAUUAUUGUGAGAACUCCUUGGUAGCCAAAUGAAGAGGCAAACACAGAUGAUGAUGAUGAUGGUCAUGGCAUACAUAUCUGAACCACUUCAAGAGGAAUGCCAGCUUAAGAUCUCCUGCUACCUGACGUCCAUCAAACAUUUCUCUUGAGAAAACACAAAACAAAAGAAAACAAAAAUCAACAUGGGUUAAAGAAGAGAUGCGGCUGCAUCAGAGGGUUCAGGCAGGGAGACGGGCAGAAAACAAGAGAAAUUGGUUUGGGCCCCCGGGAGCUGAAUCGAUCUCCAGGUUUCCUCAAGUCUUCCAGAAAUGGGCCCAGGGAGGUUAGCAGCUGUGACAAAAAUCAAAAUCCAUUUUCUGUGGCCAAAUGUAAUGAGGACCAAAUGGUGGAUGUUCCAUUCAUCUCUCCGGCCUGUCUGAGCACUCUUAGGCCACAGGCAGCAGGCUUGUGAAGGCAGGUGUGAAAGCUGCGGGGAGUCUUAUGAGCAACCGCAUGAUGCUCUAUGUACAGGCAUGGCAUUUUUGCUAGUGUUUUUUAUUGGAUAUAUAGUUAUUUUAUAUGUCUAUUUUUAUUAAAUCACCACAUCAAUCCAUGUGUGUGCAAGAUAAAUCGUUCUGGUUAGAGGUCCGUCUAAUCAGGCAUCACAAAAUAAACUAUAGCUUCAGGAGUGGGACGUUGUUCCCUUGAAAUUGUCCCUAUUUGUGGACAAAAUAGGGUUUGCUUCGCAUACCGAAAAACAACAGAUGAAAAUUGCUCCAGGAUUAUGACUGAGAGCCCCUCUUCAAUCUUCAGAAAGCCCACCCACACAAAAUCUGGCUGAGCAAUUCACUAUGGUGAAGUUAGACCUUUUGUGCGACCAGAAUAUAUUUCUCUCCUUCACAACCGAAUUCAUGUAAAAUGAAUCAACACCCCUCUGUAAUUCCAAAAAUUUGCCACACGGACUGAUUGGGGUCAACGGCUCAGUUUGACAUCAGGAGAGCGCAAACUCCCCAUCAUGAUUGAUUGCAAGCAUAGUCACACAUAUUAUUAUGAAAUGAGUUUAUUAGCUUUGAAUCUGUUGGUUAUGCACUGCUGUUUUAGGCCUUGUGUGCAAUUUUCAGAGGCAAGCGUGGAUCACGAGAGUCAUGAAGGCUUUAUGAUGUCAUUUUGAAACUCUCACCUGGUUUAUCUGAGGAACUCUUGUUACAAUAGUGAUAAAAUAGGCCUGAACUACAGGAGAUUUCUGCCUGUGAUUUGUAUUUAGACUGAACACUCGGGAAUCUCACUGAGCACCAGUCAAGGCUCGUUAUUCCCUCAGAUAAACAGGCAGGUCAAUCAUAGAACACCAAGCCAAGUCCCAAUUCCUCUUAUUUAUGGGGGGGUUACACUUUCUUUUAUUUUGGUGCCAUAUUUAUGUUGCAAUCUUCAUCAUGAUUUAGCAUGGCAGUCAUAAAUCAUAAUUGCAAAGACUGCAGAGGCACCAAUUUACUUGCGGAUAAUAAGGUCUUUGUAUUUAUAGCUACGCUGGCAGUAUAUUUUAUGGUUAUGAUCAUGUGCAUUACACCAGUUCAUUACAAUCAGCAUUAGCUUGAGCUUUUUAAUAGAAUAAGAAGAGUGCCAAAUGCCUGUCUAUUUUAACCUGCCUUUCUAAUAGCCAUAUGAGUCUGAUAACUAAGCAAAGAGCUUGGCGGUAAUGAGUCAUGUGACACCUCAUGGGGUUUUCCAUAACUAUUUGAGUAAAUGUUCGCUCUCCACCAACAAUUCCCUUUGAUGACCCAUUAGAUAUUAUGGGGCAGCCUGCUGUGAGCUCCAUAGUCAUGAUCUUACCAAAUUUGUGUUUAAUGCCCAAGAGACAAACAAUAACUAGAUUUUAAAAACUUCCUGACAUUAUCUCUCAUCUGAAAGUCUAACAAGUUUUGUUGUGAGUGACACUUAAUUUUUUUUUUUUUUAGACAUUAGUGAUAUUGUUGUUGCUACUGGGAACCCCCACCCCAAUGCUUUUAAUCUGACAUUUUAUUUGAUUCUACUUUUGCAUAAUUUGUGCCUUUUUUUUGGUAUUUAAACAACAGAUAUUUCAAUGUAUUUUUUUAUAUUGUAUUUAUGUAUAGAUUAUGAAUAGCCUAUAUUCAAUUUUACAUUUGAACAGUUUUCAUCUAUAUUCCUCUUAUUUCAUAUUUCCAAAUGGAAAGAGGGUCCUUCUCCUUUUGUUUUCAGAGAUUGCAUUUGUUUCAUUGAAUCUUUUGCCACUGAAUCCUGAUCAACUUCCAUUGCAGAUGCUUGUCAGCUGGGGAAUAUAUAAAGAUAAAUGGUAUUAUGUUAAAUUCCACUUAAUGACAAAUUUUUAAUUUUCUGAACACGGUCAUUUUCUGGCUUGUGAAUCAAGUGUAAGGAGCUAAUUACGUGAGGAUCUGAGCAAAAAUAACUCCUCAUCUCAAGGAUAAUGGAACAGAAAUGUUGUAGAUUAAUGGCACUAUUUAUCUUUUUUAAAUUUCUAUCUUUCUCUGGUGAUAGCUGUGCUCCCCAAGGAAAAUAUUCAUAAAAUGAAAUUGAAGUCGUAACUUAAUAGGUUAUUAAAAUUUUUGAGCGCAUAUCACUUCUUCUUUCGCGGCGCUGUAAAUUUAAAUUGAAGUUUGUGGCGUUCGGAGUCACCAGCAGAGUUUUUUAUGAUGGCACAAUAGAGGGGGAACAUGCAUCUUUGUCAGGAGGUAUUUGCUAUUCUAAUUUUAUGGCAGGCCAGAUUAUCAAAAAGGAAUGUCAUGGUGCGGGCUGCUGACAACACCUCAGCCUUCAGCCAUGUGUUUCCAUUAAGCGACUGAGUCGUCCGGGGGUUUGUUCGUCCCAUUAUUUUCCAUUUCUGUCUUUUAUCUUGAUUUAAAGUGAGGCUCACUGCAUAUUCCUGUGCUGUCAUUUCCUUUCCUCUGCCAGAGCCUGAGAUUGGGCAGCACAGGGCGUCUCAGCACAGGGACUCGCUCUCUCUCCAGGGGCCGCGUGUAGAGCGAUUCAAGGUGGAAUAUCUUUAGCCCGCCUAUAUGUUUGGAAACACUGUGCGAAUGAGAGAUGGUGAUGGAAAGAGAGAGGGGCCAUCAUCACCGCCCUGGCGUUUUUCCCUCAAGGUCAUGGGGCCAAAUUUAUUUAUUUCCCUGAAAGUUACGAUGGAAUUUUACUGACUACUUUGCAGUAAUGAUGAGGGACAUCAGCAGCCAUAAAUUUCUCUUGCCAUUUCUUUCGCCAAUGAUGAACCAUUUUUUAUUUAGCCUUCAAGGACGUUACUUACAUGGUAUUUGUAUGGAAGCAGUGUUAUAUGUAAUGAUAUCCAUUUCAUAGCGUCAUAACCCGGUGGGAAAAAAAAAGUAAAGUAAAACUGACUUGGGUGCAUGGUAUUCAAAUUCAUCUGGAGCUAUUGUAAUAAAUAGUAAA
Pimephales promelas (fathead minnow) is the source of this 5067-nucleotide non-coding RNA. The record is from RefSeq and is a predicted model, not a curated record. NCBI's taxonomy places the organism in Eukaryota, Metazoa, Chordata, Actinopteri, Cypriniformes, Leuciscidae.